RNAcentral lists this ribosomal RNA (292 nucleotides) under uncultured bacterium. Its description in RNAcentral is "partial 16S ribosomal RNA". The record is from RNAcentral.
GGACUACUGGGGUAUCUAAUCCUGUUUGCUCCCCACGCUUUCGCGCCUCAGCGUCAGUAUCCAGCCAGAAAGUCGCCUUCGCCACCGGUAUUCCUCCCGAUAUCUACGAAUUUCACCUCUACACCGGGAAUUCCACUUCCCCCUCUGGUACUCAAGUCUGACAGUUUCAAAUGCACUUCCACAGUUAAGCCGUGGACUUUCACAUCUGACUGAUCAAACCGCCUACGCGCCCUUUACGCCCAGUAAUUCCGAACAACGCUCGCACCCUCCGUAUUACCGCGGCUGCUGGCAC